Molecule: long non-coding RNA, 671 nt
Organism: Pipistrellus kuhlii (Kuhl's pipistrelle)
Lineage: Eukaryota; Metazoa; Chordata; Mammalia; Chiroptera; Vespertilionidae
Exons: 2
Source: RefSeq, a predicted model, not a curated record
UUGCCAUUUCCAUGCUUGCUAUCACCUUCAUACUUCUGCACAUGAAGUUCCCAGUGUCCCUCUGUCCACUUCGGAUUUCUAUUCUUCCUUCAGACACCGUCUUCUCAGAGGUCUUCCCCGACCCACCUUUCUCCCCUCACCAUUUCCCCAAACAGCGCAGUGAAGCUGCUGCUCAGCUGUGCUGGGUCUUUGCAGCAAUGACAGGGUGAGCAGGUGGUGCAGCCCUGCGGACGGAGGAGAGCUCGGGGCGGGCAAGGCCCCUCUCCUCGGGGACCCCGCAGUCUCAAUAGAUAGGCAAUGGCAGGGGCUGCGGGGCACCUAUCCCACAGGGGCGCCUCCAGAUGCUUCCAGCUCUGGAGAGGGAGAUGCCAGGUAUGAAACAAUCAGUGAUUGAGAUAGAAAUCUCCCGGUUUAUGGGGCAAGUACUCAGAGGAACUUGAGUCUGGAGUGCGGCCAGCGUUCCAAGCGUUCCCCACACUUCAGACCCGGCUCUCUGGUGCCACCUGUUGGAGAAAUUGUUUUACUGAUGGGCACCUUCCCUGCCCCCAAAGAAUUUGGGAACAAACACGCUUAUACAUGUUUUAAAAAGCAUUAAACUAAGAGGCAUUCUCUCAAAUGAGUCUAAAUGCAUUUUAUUUUUAGACAACCUACAGGACAUGUUUUUUUCUUAA